CCUUGCGAGUGAUGACCUAGCAUUAUUAUACAGUUAUCCCUGUCUGAAAUGUCUUUUUCAAGAGCUAUUGUGUGGAUAUCGCCUAACUUCUGACCCUGCA
RNAcentral lists this small nucleolar RNA (100 nucleotides) under Fusarium verticillioides 7600. Its description in RNAcentral is "small nucleolar RNA R38". The record is from RNAcentral. Lineage: Eukaryota; Fungi; Ascomycota; Sordariomycetes; Hypocreales; Nectriaceae.